GGGCAUGUAGCUCAGGGGAUAGAGCACCAGAUUCCGGUUCUGGGUGUCGCAGGUUCGAUUCCUGCCAUGCUCG
This is a non-coding RNA of Leptolyngbya sp. NIES-2104, 73 nucleotides long. The record is from Rfam. NCBI's taxonomy places the organism in Bacteria, Bacillati, Cyanobacteriota, Cyanophyceae, Leptolyngbyales, Leptolyngbyaceae.